CCCACCCUUCCCACCACCACCCCAUUAAUGAGAUAUGCCUGUCAGGGGGCAUCCUGCUGGUUAGGCCCAGCGUAUUGCCUUGGAGCAAGAUGAGGAGGAGUAGCCAUCCCCGAUCAGCCUGGUUGGAACUCUGGAAUGCCCCCUCCUCAUACCAAACCCACCAGGAGCCCUGCAGCCUGCGCCAUAAUCCCAGGGCCUGUGGGAACUCUCGCCAACUCACUUCACUGAGUCAGAGCAAGAAAAGUUCAACCACUACAACAUCCAUCCUUUCCACCCUCAUUAUGAUCAGCCUCUCUCUCCAUUUUGCUUUCAUUUUUACUACCUUGAGCUGAAAUGUUCUGGUUCCCCCAAGAGCCUUUUAUUAGCCUCUGAUGUUGUGUAAGGACACAAUAUACUCGACAGAUCUGUGCAUGGAGAGAAAAAGAGAACGAUGUUUUAAUCAGAUACAUUUCCAGAGAGCAUCCCUCUUGACAAUGACCUGGGACCUAAUGUUCGGUGAGCUGCAGGAUCAAGGAGAAUGUGCAUCUUCCUCUUUGCUUUAAUGAACCUAAAGGUCAAGAGGGGUAUGUUACAGCUAAACAUUGGGAUAGACACACACACAUUCACCUACAAACACACCCCCCUAACAGACAUGGACACUUACCCACAAACCUUUGCACAAAGAGAGGAAUGCUGUUUGCUCACUGCAUUCAUCCAUGUAAAAGCACCAUCGGGGCAGACAGUCACUCUGUUCCACAGCAUGUCUAGCCAUCACCACACACACACACACACACACACACACACACACACACACACACACACACCUAACAAUCACAAAGAGAGAUGGCACUUUCCUUUUCACAAAGCACACCCCCAAAAACCCUCUAGCACCACACACACUUCGCUUGCCACCUUUGUAUCACUUGAAAGGCAUAUGGUUACAGCCAUUUGAUUCCAUAGCUGAAAGUGCCUUUCACUUAACAGCAGUUCAGAAAGAGGUCAUACUUCUGCAAACAGAAAUACUUGACCAAAGGAGCUCACUGACUGGCACUUAAAAUGAUAAAAGAAUGUGGUGCAAAUGAAGACCCAAA
Ictalurus punctatus (channel catfish) is the source of this 1070-nucleotide long non-coding RNA. The record is from Ensembl. Lineage: Eukaryota; Metazoa; Chordata; Actinopteri; Siluriformes; Ictaluridae.